Molecule: ribosomal RNA, 468 nt
Filed under: uncultured bacterium
Lineage: Bacteria
Description: partial 16S ribosomal RNA
Rfam family: Bacterial small subunit ribosomal RNA
Source: RNAcentral
GACGAACGCUGGCGGCGUGCUUAACACAUGCAAGUCGAACGGAAAGACCCUGCUUUUGUGGGGUGCUCGAGUGGCGAACGGGUGAGUAACACGUGAGUAACCUGCCCUUGACUUUGGGAUAACUUCAGGAAACUGGGGCUAAUACCGGAUAGGAGCUCCUGCUGCAUGGUGGGGGUUGGAAAGUUUCGACGGUUGGGGAUGGACUCGCGGCUUAUCAGCUUGUUGGUGGGGUAGUGGCUUACCAAGGCUUUGACGGGUAGCCGGCCUGAGAGGGUGACCGGCCACAUUGGGACUGAGAUACGGCCCAGACUCCUACGGGAGGCAGCAGUGGGGAAUAUUGCACAAUGGGCGGAAGCCUGAUGCAGCAACGCCGCGUGCGGGAUGACGGCCUUCGGGUUGUAAACCGCCUUCGCCUGUGACGAAGCGUGAGUGACGGUAAUGGGUAAAGAAGCACCGGCUAACUACGUG